AUGACAAGGCUGCGGGGCGCGAUCCACAAGAUUGAGGCCGACGCGACGGCCAAGGUCGUCCUUGUUGCGAGCUCCGUACCGGGAGUCUUCUGCGCAGGCGCCGAUCUCAAGGAAAGGAGGCACAUGAGCUCUUCACAGGUUAAAGAAUAUGCUAAUUCCUUAAGGUCUACAUUCUCGUACUUUGAGGCACUCUCCAUUCCAACAAUUGCUGUCAUUGAAGGAGCUGCUUUGGGUGGUGGGCUGGAACUUGCUCUGUCAUGUGAUCUGCGUAUAUGUGGAGAAAAUGCAACCCUUGGACUGCCAGAGACAGGACUUGCUAUCAUUCCUGGAGCCGGGGGCACACAGCGUCUUCCAAGGAUCAUCGGAAGGUCCAGAGCGAAGGAGCUGAUAUUCACAGGCCGCAGAUGCGACGCAACUGAAGCUGUCUUGAUGGGACUGGCAAACUACCGCGUUCCAGCAGGGGAGGCCUACGGCAAGGCUCUUGAACUCGCCCGUGAGAUGACGAAGAAAUCUCCCACUCUCGCCCGACUCUCCACUAUGCGCAGCCUCGGGGGCCUCCGCGCCGUCUCCGGCCACCUCGCGGCGGCGAGCGGCGCCUCCUCGUCUCCCCACUGCGUCCUCUUCGCCCGUGCCCUCCAGAUCCUCGCCCAGCCGGAGCCCGUUCGCCUCCACAAGCUCUCGGCGCCCGACUCCGGGAUCGUGGAGCUGAGGCUUGAGCGGCCGGAGGCCAGGAACGCCAUCGGGAAGGAGAUGCUCAAGGGGCUGCGGAGCGCCAUGGACAAGGUGGGGGCCGACCCGACGGCCAACGUUGUACUGGUAGCGAGCUCCGUGCCCAAGGUCUUCUGCGCGGGCGCUGACCUCAAGGAAAGGAGGUUAAUGGGCCCUUCUGAAGUCCGGGAAUUUGUUAAUACCUUGAGAGCUACAUUCUCAUCCUUUGAGGCACUCCCCAUUCCUACAAUAGCUGUUGUUGAAGGAGCUGCUUUUGGCGGUGGACUAGAGUUGGCUCUUUCAUGUGAUCUUCGUAUAUGUGGGGAGAGUGCAACAUUCAGCUUGCCAGAAACCGGCCUUGCUAUUAUUCCUGGAGCUGGAGGGACACAGCGUCUUCCAAGGAUUGUUGGAAGGGCCAGAGCAAAGGAAUUGAUAUUCACUGGCCGUAGAUUUGAUGCGACAGAAGCUGUAAAUAUGGGAGUAGUGAACUACUGUGUUCCUGGUGGUGAGGCUUAUCAAAAGGCUCUUGAACUUGCCCGGGAGAUAAAUCAGAAAGGUCCGUUAGCGAUAAGGAUGGCGAAGAAGGCCAUCAAUGAAGGGAUGGAGGUAGACCUGUCCUCUGCGUUGGCUGUCGAAGAAGGGUGCUACGAGCAAGUUCUGCACACUCAGGAUCGCCUCGAAGGUCUAGCUGCAUUUGCCGAGAAAAGAAAACCUUUGUACACAGGAAAGUGA
RNAcentral lists this ribosomal RNA (1440 nucleotides) under Triticum aestivum (bread wheat). RNAcentral describes it as "partial small subunit ribosomal RNA". The record is from RNAcentral. Lineage: Eukaryota; Viridiplantae; Streptophyta; Magnoliopsida; Poales; Poaceae.